Molecule: transfer RNA, 73 nt
Filed under: Phycisphaerae bacterium
Lineage: Bacteria; Pseudomonadati; Planctomycetota; Phycisphaerae
Description: tRNA-Thr
Rfam family: tRNA
About the family: Transfer RNA (tRNA) molecules are approximately 80 nucleotides in length. Their secondary structure includes four short double-helical elements and three loops (D, anti-codon, and T loops).
Source: RNAcentral
GCCGCUGUAGCUCAGUUGGUAGAGCAAUGCUUUUGUAAAGCAUAGGUCGUGGGUUCGAGUCCCUCGAGCGGCU